CUAUACACCAUAUUCGCUUUGAUAGAGUGUUUAUUAUCUACUGAAAGUUCGAGCGUUAUCUGUCGUUCCGCUGGGAAUUGGGAGAUUGCGAAACCGCUUGUGGUCGGCGGACUACUGCACAAGUGUGUGAUGUUGCGAAUUUCCAUGGGUUGCAAGUUCGUCGCACGUCGACGGGUGAACAACCAGAAGCUCUCUAAGAAGACCAGGCCGUCCCUUAUCUGGUCAUAGAGUGUCGUUAGCGACGGCUGCUAUUUGACAAUUCGUUUUUCAUCACGAAAAGGUCAUAAAUGAGAAAUAGUGACGAUGUAGUGACGAAAAUGGGUGCAUGGGGGGUGGUCUUAAAUCAGCAUUUUUUCUUGUAG
RNAcentral lists this long non-coding RNA (362 nucleotides) under Brachypodium distachyon (stiff brome). RNAcentral's name for it is "long non-coding RNA (BDIS_LNC003392)". Lineage: Eukaryota; Viridiplantae; Streptophyta; Magnoliopsida; Poales; Poaceae. The record is from RNAcentral.